GGUGUCAAGAUUCCAUUAUGGUUAUAAGUUAAUUGUUUCUGAUAUUUGAAUCUUGCAGGCUGCACCAGCUAGCUCCUCUAGGCUGGCUCUUGAAGCAUCAGCAACAACACCAUCAAGGAUGGUGGAGCAAGUGGAGGAGCAGGUGGUUGAUGUGACGUCAGCAGUGGUGCCAGGGCUAGGGGCUAGAGGCGGCUAGCAUGUAGCACCCCAACUUUCGGGAAUUCUGUGAAUGUUAGCAUAGGUUUAAUUAUGUUAGUGGGCCUCUAGAAGGCCCAAGCUUAAGAUAGAGCCCGACAAUUUUAGUUAAUUUUUUUUCCAUAAGAAAAAGGGGAUGAAAUUAUGAAAUAGGACCUAUGUGAAAAUGUUUGAAAAUGCCUUAGGCUAAAUUGAAGUGGCCAAAUAAAUAGGAGUGCAAAAUAGGAGGAUUUGCAUGACAAACCUCCUAUUUUACAUGAAGUGGCCAACCAUCAUGUUGUUGUAGACAAAAUGUGCACUUGAUAUCCAUAUGGUACAAAUUGAUACAAAUUGAUAAUGGGUUAGGUAAAUGUUCCAUGAUAAUGGGUUAGGUAAAUGUUUCAUGAUAAUGGGUUAGGUAAAUGUUCCAUGAUUGGAAUUUCAUGUCUUUUGUAUUAAAGAAUUAAAUGGAUGAAAUAUGAAAUUUUAUUAAAAGAAAAAGGGGUGAAAAGAACAAAGUUUUGUCCAUCUUUGUUCAUCAUAGCCUAAAGUUAGAGAAGAGAAAGGAGAGGAGAAAGCUCUUGAAUGUUCGGUCACUUGGGGAAGAAAAUUGAAGGCAGUUCGUGUGUGGAUCU
Molecule: long non-coding RNA, 809 nt
Organism: Gossypium arboreum
Lineage: Eukaryota; Viridiplantae; Streptophyta; Magnoliopsida; Malvales; Malvaceae
Exons: 3
Source: RefSeq, a predicted model, not a curated record